UAAUAGGAAGCAAAAGUUGCACUCAGUUUCGACCUGAAUAAUGAUGAAAUAUCAUCCUUAUUAA
Molecule: transfer RNA, 64 nt
Filed under: Pseudophyllus titan
Lineage: Eukaryota; Metazoa; Arthropoda; Insecta; Orthoptera; Tettigoniidae
Description: tRNA-Arg
Source: RNAcentral